Molecule: non-coding RNA, 69 nt
Organism: Potamilus streckersoni
Lineage: Eukaryota; Metazoa; Mollusca; Bivalvia; Unionida; Unionidae
Source: the annotation of a GenBank genome assembly
GAGUGGUCUAGUGGUCAGAGCGUUCGCCUCAGAUGCGGGAGUUGGUGGGUUCGAACCCCGGCCGAGUCA